UAGUGAGUUUGAUCCUGGCUCAGGACGAACGCUGGCGGCGUGCCUAAUACAUGCAAGUCGAGCGCAGGAAGCUCACGGAACUCUUCGGAGGGAAGUGAAGGGAAUGAGCGGCGGACGGGUGAGUAACACGUAAGGAACCUGCCCCAAGGAUUGGGAUAACUCCGAGAAAUCGGCGCUAAUACCGAAUAGUUCUCAGACCGCAUGGUCUGAUGAUGAAAGGCGCUUCGGCGUCACCUUGGGAUGGCCUUGCGGUACAUUAGCUAGUUGGUGGGGUAAUGGCCCACCAAGGCGACGAUGCAUAGCCGACCUGAGAGGAUGAUCGGCCACACUGGGGACUGAGACACGGCCCAGACUCCUACGGGGAGGCAGCAGUGGGGGAAUAUU
Molecule: ribosomal RNA, 384 nt
Filed under: uncultured Exiguobacterium sp.
Lineage: Bacteria; Bacillati; Bacillota; Bacilli; Caryophanales
Description: bacterial SSU rRNA
Rfam family: Bacterial small subunit ribosomal RNA
Source: RNAcentral